Molecule: long non-coding RNA, 192 nt
Organism: Ahaetulla prasina
Lineage: Eukaryota; Metazoa; Chordata; Lepidosauria; Squamata; Colubridae
Exons: 4
Source: RefSeq, a predicted model, not a curated record
GUUUCGCCGCCAGUUCUUAUUUCUUUUUCGAAGAAAUCUGCGGUGGAUCCAGGCGGAGUUGGGCCGAUGGGAUUCUGCAGCUCAGCAUUCCAGCUACAAGCAGAACGGAUGUGUCUGUAUUACAGGGCACACGGUCAUGAACCUGAAAAUGUUCGCCCGAAAGGUUAAGAUGCCCCAUGAAGCUCUAAUGAG